This 63-nucleotide microRNA precursor is filed under the name Chelydra serpentina (North American snapping turtle). RNAcentral's name for it is "mir-1902". The record is from RNAcentral. Lineage: Eukaryota; Metazoa; Chordata; Testudines; Chelydridae.
AGUGUUUGUCUAAUUGGAUUUAAUAACAUGUUUAGAGGUGCAGUAGGCAUGACUUUGACUAGA